GAAUGAACGCUGGCGGCGUGCCUAACACAUGCAAGUCGAGCGAGAAAGUUCCCUUCGGGGAGCGAGUACAGCGGCGCACGGGUGAGUAACGCGUGGGUAACCUACCCUCGAGUGGGGGAUAACUCGUCGAAAGGCGGGCUAAUCCCGCAUACGUCCCGCAGACCCAUGUCUGCAGGAGAAAGAUGGCCUCUGCUUGCAAGCUAUCGCUCUUGGAUGGACCCGCGUUAGAUUAGCUUGUUGGUGAGGUAACGGCUCACCAAGGCUCCGAUCUAUAGCUGGUUUGAGAGGACGACCAGCCACACUGGAACUGAGACACGGUCCAGACUCCUACGGGAGGCAGCAGUGAGGAAUAUUGCGCAAUGGGGGAAACCCUGACGCAGCGACGCCGCGUGAGUGAUGAAGGCCUUCGGGUUGUAAAGCUCUGUCAGAGGGAAAGAAAGGGGAUGCGGAAUAAUACCCGCAGCCAUUGACGGUACCCUCGGAGGAAGCACCGGCUAACUCCGUGCCAGCAGCCGCGGUAAUACGGAGGAUGCAAGCGUUAUCCGGAUUCAUUGGGUUUAAAGGGUGCGUAGGCGGGCUAUUAAGUCAGUGGUGAAAUCCUGCAGCUUAACUGCAGAACUGCCGUUGAUACUGAUAGUCUUGAGUUUGGUUAAGGUAGGCGGAAUGUGUAAUGUAGCGGUGAAAUGCUUAGAUAUUACACAGAACACCAAUUGCGUAGGCAGCUUACUGAGCCGACACUGACGCUGAGGCACGAAAGCGUGGGGAUCAAACAGGAUUAGAUACCCUGGUAGUCCACGCCGUAAACGAUGAUUACUCGCUGUUGGCGAUACACUGUCAGCGGCUAAGCAAAAGCAAUAAGUAAUCCACCUGGGGAGUACGGCCGCAAGGUUGAAACUCAAAGGAAUUGACGGGGGCCCGCACAAGCGGAGGAACAUGUGGUUUAAUUCGAUGAUACGCGAGGAACCUUACCUGGGCUUAAAUGUAGAGUGCAUUUUCUAGAGAUAGAAAUUCCCUUCGGGGCUUUCUGCAAGGUGCUGCAUGGUUGUCGUCAGCUCGUGCCGUGAGGUGUCGGGUUAAGUCCCAUAACGAGCGCAACCCUUAUCGUUAGUUGCCAGCUGGUAAAGCAGGGGACUCUAGCGAAACUGCCACCGUAAGGUGAGAGGAAGGUGGGGAUGACGUCAAAUCAGCACGGCCCUUAUGUCCAGGGCUACACACGUGUUACAAUGGCCGGUACAGAGGGCUGCUACCUGGUGACAGGAUGCUAAUCUCGAAAACCGGUCUCAGUUCGGAUCGAAGUCUGCAACUCGACUUCGUGAAGCCGGAUUCGCUAGUAAUCGCGCAUCAGCAACGGCGCGGUGAAUACGUUCCCGGGCCU
This 1375-nucleotide ribosomal RNA is filed under the name uncultured bacterium. Its description in RNAcentral is "bacterial SSU rRNA". It matches the Rfam family "Bacterial small subunit ribosomal RNA", at positions 27 to 1381 of the family's 1533-position model. The record is from RNAcentral.